CCUUGUGCAUAACUUGUUUCUCGCUGUGUAGCCGUCGUCGUUUCUUGUUGUACAGCCAUCAUGACAAGAGCACUUGUAACCAGUGUUUCUUUUUAUUGUAUAGCCGUCAAGGCAGAGAACCUUGUGUAUCACUUGUUUCUCACUGUGUAGUCAUCAUUGAAGAGCACUUGUAACCAGUGUUUCUUUUUAUUGUAUAGCCGUCAAGGCAGAGAACCUUGUGCAUCACUUGUUUCUCGCUGUGUAGUCAUCAUCGUUCGUUUCUCGUUGUAUAGCCAUCAUGACAAGAGCACUUGUAACCAGUGUUUCUUUUUAUUGUAUAGCCGUCAAGGCAGAGAACCUUGUGUAUCACUUGUUUCUCGCUGGGUGGCUGUUGUGGCCAGAAGACCUGUAAUAAGGGUCUUCCUCAGUGUUUGUUAGGUCCCACAGUAGAGGUGAGUCUCUUGGGGCUGGGAACUAAUCGUCGGGUCGACGAUUCAUAAUGUGGGGGUGGAAUGUAGCAGGGUGACUGAAUUCGUUAGUGAGGAUUUCAUUCACCUGUGCUUAAUUUAAGCCCCCGCCCCUUUCUUGGUUGAUAUAAGGGAUGUGUGUUUGUCAUAUGGCAUGCGUCUUGGUAUCGGCCUUGUGACGUCAUCCGUGGUUGCCGCAGGCUUGGACUGUAAGCUGGCUUCCUCGUCUGCUGUGUGUUGGCUGCCCACGCCACACAGCAUGUCAUUGACAGCAUGGUGUUCAUUACUGAACUGUUGCACUGCAAGAUGAUGCGCGACUGCAAAGCGGUUUGUGCGGCGGGAUCAUUCUGCGGACUUCCCUGCAUAACUGAGAGCCUUUGGGCUAUUCGCGAGAGCGUGCCAAUGCUGAACUGUGACAGUGUAUAAUUGCGACUGCGUCGCUGUUUUGCCUCGACGUUCAUCCCCUUAGCAACCGUUGUGACUCGACUGCACGUUGCUAUCGGGUAUUGUGCCCGCUAUUCCUCUGACUGCAAACUGGUUGGGUGUUUCAUCUGGCCCCAGUCUAUUUAACUCCAUUGGUUUGAAGCUCUUCGUAUGUAUGUUUAAUUGGUUUAAUGUCAAUUUGUUUUGUGGUAUUGGGUCCUAAUUAUGUAAAGUGGUUAGACCCUUGAAUUAUUUGAUUUGUUUAAUUUUUUUGAUUGUAUUCAUGUUUUGUGUGCUCAGUUUUUUGUCUUGUUACAGGAGCUAGGGGUUUCUGGAGGAUGCAAGCAUCGCCGCCAUUGGUGUGGUGUAUUCACACUUAGUGCUGUGUGUCUUCUAGCAUUUUAACCCUUCACGUGUGUGUGUGGGUAUUUGUAGUGGAUUAUUUGGGAGAGUUUUCCAAAUUUGGCGGCCGGCCUGGACCUCCAGAUACCUCUGCUCUUGAGUUUCUUAAAAUUGAGAAUUGUUGU
Non-coding RNA from Misgurnus anguillicaudatus (oriental weatherfish), 1396 nucleotides. The record is from RefSeq and is a predicted model, not a curated record. Lineage: Eukaryota; Metazoa; Chordata; Actinopteri; Cypriniformes; Cobitidae.